This 1092-nucleotide long non-coding RNA is filed under the name Mus musculus (house mouse). RNAcentral describes it as "long non-coding RNA chr9:72719111-72720203". The record is from RNAcentral. Lineage: Eukaryota; Metazoa; Chordata; Mammalia; Rodentia; Muridae.
CAUGCUCAUAGCUCCUUAGUGGCUUUUUUUUUUUUUUAAGUAUAAAACUGCACUGUGAUCUCAUUUGGAGUUAGAGGUUUAAUUCACUAGGAAAGUGCUUGGCUAGCAAGCUUAAGGCCCCUAGUUCAAUCUCCAGGACGAAAACAGAUGAGGAAACUAACAACAAUUGUGCAUGUUAUUCCCAGAAUCAGAUAUCCUCCUGUCUUCCUUCUCCUGUAGCCUCACGUGGCUGUUUUCAAUCUUUGAGUGCUUGACACAUCCUUAUCAUUUAUCUUACUAGUCCAUUCACCUCCAAUACAUCUGAUACUUCCUAAAAAUUUUUUCCUGUCUGUUUUCAAACCCUCCAAAGUAGACUAGUGGUCACACUCUCAAGCACAUGGCCAUCAGGAUCUGCGCGAUCACACACCAAGUACAAAGUGGGACAGUCUGUCAAGCUACCCUGUUGUCUUUGACAGACAGGCAGACCUGCCACACAGAAUCGUGUGUUCUACUGGUGGUGUCGAUUUCAGGUGGCAGGAUGCAGAUGCAAGAAAAAAAAUUAAACAUUUCUUAGAUCCAUUAGUCACAAUUUAUGUUUUUACAAGCCACAAUAGAGAAUGAUUUUCUUGUGGCUGGGGGGUACGGGAGGUGAUGCUGUGGACAGUUUGAUAUAGUUCUCAUGUUCUGUGAACCGGUAAGGUAUCUGUGGUUGGUAAUGCUGUAUUGAAUGUUUGUAAAAGCAAACGAGGAUGUCACCCAGAAGUGAUAUGAAUAAGUGAUAUGUACGUCAAGCACUCCCAUCUCUUUAUACACAGUCACUAACAGUGUGUGCACCCAUGGACCACAUAGCACCCCAACCUGUCCAAUGUCCUGCUUUUGUUUUUAAUUUUUACUUUAUUUUGUAUGUAUGGCUGUUUUGCCUAUAUGUAUAUCUGUGCAAAAGACAGUAUAAGAGCUCCUGGAACUUUUGGGUUUUUGGUUUUUCGAUAUGGGCUUACUCUGUAUAGCCCUGGUUGUUCUGGAACUAGCUCUGUAGACCAGGCUGGCCUCAAACUCAAAGAGAUCUGCCUGCCUCUGCCUCCUAAUUGGUGUAAUUAAAGGUGUAUCUCAUCC